RNAcentral lists this ribosomal RNA (434 nucleotides) under uncultured Ruminococcus sp. Its description in RNAcentral is "partial 16S ribosomal RNA". It matches the Rfam family "Bacterial small subunit ribosomal RNA", at positions 341 to 792 of the family's 1533-position model. Lineage: Bacteria; Bacillati; Bacillota; Clostridia; Eubacteriales; Oscillospiraceae. The record is from RNAcentral.
ACGGAAGGCAGCAGUGGGGAAUAUUGCACAAUGGGGGGAACCCUGAUGCAGCGAUGCCGCGUGGAGGAAGAAGGUUUUCGGAUUGUAAACUCCUGUCUUAAGGGACGAUAAUGACGGUACCUUAGGAGGAAGCUCCGGCUAACUACGUGCCAGCAGCCGCGGUAAUACGUAGGGAGCGAGCGUUGUCCGGAAUUACUGGGUGUAAAGGGAGCGUAGGCGGGAUGGCAAGUCAGAUGUGAAAACUAUGGGCUCAACCCAUAGACUGCAUUUGAAACUGUUGUUCUUGAGUGAAGUAGAGGUAAGCGGAAUUCCUAGUGUAGCGGUGAAAUGCGUAGAUAUUAGGAGGAACACCAGUGGCGAAGGCGGCUUACUGGACUGUAACUGACGUUGAGGCUCGAAAGCGUGGGGAGCAAACAGGAUUAGAUACCCUGGUA